This 489-nucleotide unclassified non-coding RNA is filed under the name Hevea brasiliensis (rubber tree). The record is from RNAcentral. Lineage: Eukaryota; Viridiplantae; Streptophyta; Magnoliopsida; Malpighiales; Euphorbiaceae.
GACAAUCCAUCAAAGAACUGGAAAGGAGGAACAGGAUACAUAUCAAAGGAUAUGGUUGUGAAAGGCUUACCUGGUCCUAGUGAUGAUACACUUAUCCUGGUAUGUGGGCCCCCUGGAAUGAUGAAGCACAUAUCUGGUGAUAAGGCUAAAGACUACUCACAGGGAGAGCUUACUGGCAUACUCAAAGAACUUGGAUAUACUGAGCAAAUGGUUUACAAAUUUUAAUAGAGCCAUUUAAGCAUGUUAAGAAGCCGCUUUCUCAUGAUGCCAAAUUUUCAAUAAUGUUCAAAAGAAAUAUGGAUGGAAACAACACAUCAAAAUAAUUGCAAAUGUUCAGAGACAAAAGAGUCAUUGUGAUUUGAAGGUUCAUGAUGUUUGUGAUUUCUUCAAACUUCAGAUUAGGUGCAUUAUGAUGUUUGUCCAAUGUUUAAACCCUGAUAUGCAAGAUCAACCAAACAGAAGUUGAGGUUCUAUGCAACUGUCUUCUGG